UGGCCCACAAGCAGAUCUACUACUCGGACAAGUACUUCGACGAACACUACGAGUACCGCAUGUUAUGUUACCCAGAGAACUUUCCAAACAAGUACCUAAAACUCAUCUGAUGUCUGAAGAGGAGUGGAGGAGACUUGGUGUCCAACAGAGUCUAGGCUGGGUUCAUUACAUGAUUCAUGAGCCAGACCACAUAUUCUUCUCUUUAGACGACCUCUUCCAAAAGAUCAACAAAAA
This 234-nucleotide long non-coding RNA is filed under the name Homo sapiens (human). RNAcentral's name for it is "HSALNT0151736". The record is from RNAcentral. Lineage: Eukaryota; Metazoa; Chordata; Mammalia; Primates; Hominidae.